Molecule: long non-coding RNA, 752 nt
Filed under: Rattus norvegicus (Norway rat)
Lineage: Eukaryota; Metazoa; Chordata; Mammalia; Rodentia; Muridae
Description: long non-coding RNA NONRATT030400
Source: RNAcentral
UUUGUGGUAUAUUGAAUGAGAAUGACCCCCACAGGCUCAUAUGUUUGAAUGUAAUUUGUUUCCAAGUUUGUGGACUCUUUAAGAAAGAUUAGGAGAACACCAAUGGCUUAUGCUCUAAGAUCAAGAAUUGACAAAUGGGACCUCAUAAAACUGUAAAAUUUCUGUAAGCCAAAGGACACUGUCAUUACGACAAAACGGCAACCAACAGAUUGGGAAAAGAUCUUUACCAAUCCUACAACAGAUAGAGCCCUUAUAUCCAAAAUAUACAAAGAACUCCAGAAGUUAGACCCCAGAGAGCCAAAUAACCCUAUUAAAAAUGGGGUACAGAGCUAAACAAAGAAUUCUCAGCUGAGGAAUAUGGAGUGGCUGAGAAGCACCUAAAGAAACAUUCAACAUCCUUAAUCAUCAAGGAAAUGCAAAUCAGAACAACCCUGAGAUUUCACCUCACACCAGUGAGAAUGGCUAAGAUCAAAAACUCAGGUGACAGCAGAUGCUGGCGAGGAUGCGGAGAAAGAGGAACACUCCUCCAUUGUUGGUGGGAUUGCACACUAGUACAACCAUUCUGGAAAUCAGUCUGGAGAAUCCUCAGAAAAAUUGGACAUUGAACUACCUGAGGACCCAGCUAUACCUCUCUUGGCAUAUACCCAAAAGAUGCCCCAACAUAUAACAAAGACACGUGCUCUACUAUGUUCAUAGCAGCCUUAUUUAUAAUAGCCAGAAGCUGGAAAGAACCCAGAUGCCCUUCAACAGAG